UGGGGAAUUUUGCGCAAUGGGCGAAAGCCUGACGCAGCAACGCCGCGUGGAGGAUGAAGGUCUUUGGAUUGUAAACUCCUGUCAGCAGGGAAGAAGGCCUCGGCGAAGAGCCGAGGAUUGACGGUACCUGCAGAGGAAGCCCCGGCUAACUCUGUGCCAGCAGCCGCGGUAAUACAGAGGGGGCAAGCGUUAUUCGGAAUUAUUGGGCGUAAAGGGCGCGUAGGCGGCCGUGCAAGUGGAAGGUGAAAUCCCUCGGCUCAACCGAGGAACUGCCUUUCAAACUGCUUGGCUUGAGUCCGGGAGAGGUGAGUGGAAUUCCCAGUGUAGCGGUGAAAUGCGUAGAUAUUGGGAGGAACACCAGUGGCGAAGGCGGCUCACUGGACCGGAACUGACGCUGAGGCGCGAAAGCGUGGGGAGCAAACGG
This 424-nucleotide ribosomal RNA is filed under the name uncultured bacterium. RNAcentral describes it as "bacterial SSU rRNA". It matches the Rfam family "Bacterial small subunit ribosomal RNA", at positions 355 to 775 of the family's 1533-position model. The record is from RNAcentral.